AAAUGCGCUUUCUGGGACUAAGUAGACUGAACGUUCUUUUACUCCCUUCAAGUAAUGAAUUUUCACUGAACUUUUUCAACUUUUGAUCCGUAAAACUGGUGCGCUCUCUUGAUGACUAAACUCGUUUGCACCUUACUCCAAUUGUUUACACACAUGGCGGCGGCAGAUUCAUAUGAAUGAGAAUGAGUGGUGCACAGCCUGCGACUAGUGAGCCAGAUGUAGCCUGCUGACUGUUGAUAUGCAACAAGGGAAAGCUUCUAAACACAAUAAAUCCAUUGAAAAGGACAUUACAGGAGCCAAUAUACUGACAGCAUGGACAGAAGGGUGUGAGAAUUAUGGUGUUGGAAUUGGCAGGAAGUACCGCUCAGAAAAAGCUUGACAGACUACUGUACAAGUCAUAAUGGAGACAUUGAAUUGAAAAUUCUGUUAUCUUGAGUCUCAAUAUUGAUGUUUUUAGAUCAUUAAAUGGUUAUAUGUAUACUAUAUGCAUAUAACGAUUGGAAAAAGGUGCAGCAAAGCUUUAUUAUAAAGAGGCCAUAACGGCGGAAAUGUAGAUAUUGAAAAUGAGGAAGAAAAAAUAUUGUAUUAUUAGUUGCAUUGUAUUUUUCUAAAUAAAUGUCUUUUUUUUUA
Non-coding RNA from Parasteatoda tepidariorum (common house spider), 630 nucleotides. NCBI's taxonomy places the organism in Eukaryota, Metazoa, Arthropoda, Arachnida, Araneae, Theridiidae. The record is from RefSeq and is a predicted model, not a curated record.